RNAcentral lists this ribosomal RNA (480 nucleotides) under Streptococcus mutans. Its description in RNAcentral is "bacterial SSU rRNA". It matches the Rfam family "Bacterial small subunit ribosomal RNA", at positions 28 to 481 of the family's 1533-position model. Lineage: Bacteria; Bacillati; Bacillota; Bacilli; Lactobacillales; Streptococcaceae. The record is from RNAcentral.
GACGAACGCUGGCGGCGUGCCUAAUACAUGCAAGUGGGACGCAAGGGAACACACUGUGCUUGCACACCGUGUUUUCUUGAGUCGCGAACGGGUGAGUAACGCGUAGGUAACCUGCCUAUUAGCGGGGGAUAACUAUUGGAAACGAUAGCUAAUACCGCAUAAUAUUAAUUAUUGCAUGAUAAUUGAUUGAAAGAUGCAAGCGCAUCACUAGUAGAUGGACCUGCGUUGUAUUAGCUAGUUGGUAAGGUAAGAGCUUACCAAGGCGACGAUACAUAGCCGACCUGAGAGGGUGAUCGGCCACACUGGGACUGAGACACGGCCCAGACUCCUACGGGAGGCAGCAGUAGGGAAUCUUCGGCAAUGGACGAAAGUCUGACCGAGCAACGCCGCGUGAGUGAAGAAGGUUUUCGGAUCGUAAAGCUCUGUUGUAAGUCAAGAACGUGUGUGAGAGUGGAAAAGUUCACACAGUGACGGUAGCUA